This 503-nucleotide ribosomal RNA is filed under the name uncultured bacterium. RNAcentral describes it as "partial 16S ribosomal RNA". It matches the Rfam family "Bacterial small subunit ribosomal RNA", at positions 30 to 523 of the family's 1533-position model. The record is from RNAcentral.
AUUGAACGCUGGCGGCAGGCUUAACACAUGCAAGUCGAGCGGGGUGAUGGUGCUUGCACUAUCACUUAGCGGCGGACGGGUGAGUAAUGCUUAGGAAUCUGCCUAUUAGUGGGGGACAACAUCUCGAAAGGGAUGCUAAUACCGCAUACGUCCUACGGGAGAAAGCAGGGGAUCACUUGUGACCUUGCGCUAAUAGAUGAGCCUAAGUCGGAUUAGCUAGUUGGUGGGGUAAAGGCCUACCAAGGCGACGAUCUGUAGCGGGUCUGAGAGGAUGAUCCGCCACACGGGGACUGAGAAACGGCCGAGACUCAUACGGGAGGCAGCAGUGGGGAAUAUUGGACAAUGGGGGGAACCCUGAUCCAGCCAUGCCGCGUGUGUGAAGAAGGCCUUAUGGUUGUAAAGCACUUUAAGCGAGGAGGAGGCUCUUUUGGUUAAUACCCAAGAUGAGUGGACGUUACUCGCAGAAUAAGCACCGGCUAACUCUGUGCCAGCCGCCGCGGUAA